GGAAUUCCUUGGUGUAGCGGUGGAAUGCGCAGAUAUCAGGAGGAAACACCGAUGGCGAAGGCAGAUCUCUGGGCCGUAACUGACGCUGAGGAGCGAAAAGGGUGGGGAGCAAACAGGCUUAGAUACCCUGGUAGUCCACCCCGUAAACGUUGGGAACUAGUUGUGGGGUCCAUUCCACGGAUUCCGUGACGCAGCUAACGCAUUAAGUUCCCCGCCUGGGGAGUACGGCCGCAAGGCUAAAACUCAAAGGAAUAGACGGGGACCCGCACAAGCGGCGGAGCAUGCGGAUUAAUUCGAUGCAACGCGAAGAACCUUACCAAGGCUUGACAUAUACGAGAACGGGCCAGAAAUGGUCAACUCUUUGGACACUCGUAAACAGGUGGUGCAUGGUUGUCGUCAGCUCGUGUCGUGAGAUGUUGGGUUAAGUCCCGCAACGAGCGCAACCCUCGUUCUAUGUUGCCAGCACGUAAUGGUGGGAACUCAUGGGAUACUGCCGGGGUCAACUCGGAGGAAGGUGGGGAUGACGUCAAAUCAUCAUGCCCCUUAUGUCUUGGGCUUCACGCAUGCUACAAUGGCCGGUACAAAGGGCUGCAAUACCGCGAGGUGGAGCGAAUCCCAAAAAACCGGUCCCAGUUCGGAUUGAGGUCUGCAACUCGACCUCAUGAAGUCGGAGUCGCUAGUAAUCGCAGAUCAACAACGCUGCGGUGAAUACGUUCCCGGGUCUUGU
Molecule: ribosomal RNA, 727 nt
Filed under: Microbacterium sp. Y3
Lineage: Bacteria; Bacillati; Actinomycetota; Actinomycetes; Micrococcales; Microbacteriaceae
Description: bacterial SSU rRNA
Rfam family: Bacterial small subunit ribosomal RNA
Source: RNAcentral